GGCUGUGCCCGGAGUCAUGCCCAGCACAGAAGGUGGCUCCACCCCACUGUGCUGUGUGACCCUGCGCUAGACCUGCCCCUCUCUGAGCCUUUAUUCUCUUCUGCUAAAAGGGAACUUUGAACAGUAACCGCGAUGCCGGGCAGUGGUUCUCAACGGGACCAAAGAGAGGCGUUUUGAACAUUAAGACGCUUUGCUGCUUCUCACCUGAAACACGUAACAGGAACACCAACCUCUUCAGCCGCGGGAAAUCUUCUUUGACACAAAACUCAAACCGAGUCAACCCAAAGUUCCAAGUUCUUUGCUUUCUCUUCUGUGUGUGUGUUGGUUUGUCCCAAAAGUCAGUUUGCAAGUUGAAACUUCAUGAAAUUACUCGUAGCAGAAAUAAAGUACAUUGUACAAAUCA
This 403-nucleotide long non-coding RNA is filed under the name Homo sapiens (human). RNAcentral's name for it is "HSALNT0254568". The record is from RNAcentral. Lineage: Eukaryota; Metazoa; Chordata; Mammalia; Primates; Hominidae.